CAUUUUUCUAUUUUAAAAAAGAUAGAUUUAUAACAACAAAUGAAUGCUUUUUUAUUCAAGAAAAAAAAUGACUGGAAGUAAGUAUGCCAAGAUGUUAAUAGUAGAUAAUUCUGGGUGUGGCAGUUAUAGAUGACUUUAUUUCUUCUUUGUUCAUUUCUGAAUUUUAAAAGAACCUUCAAAAUAAAAAAAAACUAAACUAGGCAAGUAAAGAUUCAUAAAAACUGGGACAGACAUCCUUCAAUGAAACGACACUUUUAGUGGCAGGAACUCCUCUCAGGGUGAUCAAUGGUCCCAGUUUGCCCAGAUUGUCCUGGUUUUAGCACUGAAUGUCUUGCUUCUAGGAUGGCUGGCCACCCUACCUCCUUAUGGUUCAAAUGACUAUGGUGAUGCAUCAGGAAAGCUUUUGAUUCUAGGACAACAAUAAUAAGGUUUUUUUGUGUGUGCCUCAGAAUCCCCCAAGAAACUUGUUAAAUAAGCAGAUUCCUGGGUUCCAAGCCUGGAGAUUCUGGUCUGGGAAGUCUGGGAUGAGGCUUAGGAGAGGGCAUGUUUAAGCAUCCCAGGUAAUUCUCAAGCCUUGGACUGUUUCAGAGCUCCUUCAGCAGUCUUCCUGGCUUCCUCCUUCAUUUCCUCUUCUCUGCAUUUCCGGGGUCAUCUGAAACCCUCCCUAAGCAUUUGUGCUACUGGGAGCCUCCUGCUGUGUGUUUACUGCUGGCCAUCUGCCUGGAGCGCUGCCACCUCUCCUAGCUCACUGCAAACAAAAAGUAAUGGGAGGAACUCGACAGAUCCCAUGCCCUCCCGCCAGGAAAAUACUGGUAGCUCAACUUAGACCUAAAUUCACGUUCAAGAUUCCCUGUCAGCACUCAUUCUAAAGAAAGUUUAAACCAGUGACAUACAGGAAUGAAAAAAAAACCCCAUUCUACAGAAAUGACACACAGAUCUUUCCAAUUCUUCCUCAUGCCUCACUUACAUUCUACCAUCCUUAAACACCAUCUGUAGCAAAUAUUAUCCUGGAAAUUAAAAAAAGACCUAUUACCCCAUCCUAUACAUUUACUUCCAUAUGAACAUAAGUCUGAGGUGUUAAUUCUCUCUCCUGGACACAAUUCAAAAGAAAGUAGGUUUCUUCAGUGUAUCUAUUUGGUCCAAUUACUUCUAAAAUAUGGCACACUGCUUUAUGUCAGCUGUUUUUCAUUAAUAUGUGCAUCAGGCUCCCAUUUUUGGUGGCUCUCAGCCCAGUGCUUCUCAAACUUUAAUGUGCCUAAGAAUCACCUGGGGAUCUUGUAAAAAUGCAGGUUCUGAAUCAGCAGGACUAGGGUGGGACUUGAGAUUCUGAAUUUCUAACAAGUUCCCCUCUGAGGCCCAGGUUGCUGGUUCCCGGACCACACAUGAGUAGGAAGGGUACUUGACAAGCCAAAGUUUGGUCCCUAUGUCUAUAUUUGCCUCUAAUAAAAUUAAAGCAAAGUGAGCAUUUGUUCCUACCACAGGGCUUAAUCUGCUGUGAUAUAUUUUCUUGAGUUUACAGGAAAUUUAUAGUGUACCCCCCACCUCUGACCAGGAGUGAGUCAGCAAAUUGUAAAGCCAAAUCCUUUUUCGUUGUAAAUUCUUAUGUUUGCUGUUUACUGAUCUGCAAACAAUCAGGGUUAAAGUAUAAGCAAAAUAGGUAUAUAAGAAAAGUACAUAUGUGAAAAGGGAAAUGUCUGAAGAAGUCAAGAAAAUGAUCUUAAUUAUAAAAAUAAGUAGACGUUUAACGUGAGAAAAAUGCAAAUGGCGACUAGCUUUGGAAGAUACCUUUUAUUACAUCAAAUCUGAAAAUUAUUGUCAGCUCCAAGGAUGGAGCUUUUAACUUCAGGGGGAAUGAGGAAAUUUAAAAAGGCAGCUGUGAUAAUGUCUUUAUGGUCUUGAAUCUGUUGGGGCUCAGAAAACAAUACCCCAAAAGAUGACACUUUGACAUGCUGAACUAAAGAAGCAGGCUCACGGUUUCUCUGACCACCCCCACCACAUAUCUCUCAGUCCUCUCUCUCCCAAAGAUGAGGCUGUUCAAGUACCCUGAUCUAACUAGAAACUGGACCCACCAAAGAGAAGCACAAAUGCCUCUGAUCUCCUCUCUGAAAUUUCAUUAACCAGAGAAGACUAAAAUUUACAGAAGAAGAGACUGAAAAUUAAACACCACAACUACAGCACAGAAGAACUUCCUCCCAAACUAGUUUUCCUUCUCAGACCAUUCAGUUCCCAAAGAGAAUCAUUUACUAUCCCAUUUCUGAGCACUGGGCCCAUUCAUUUCCCCUAAAAUUCAUUUACUACCCCUCAAAAAUGGCCACAUUUCCCCCAUGUCCCUCCACUAUGAAGAAGGGUUUGUAUGCAUCAAGACCACACUGGGUUGUUAGGUAAUCAUCCUCCUGCCAUUCCCCAUGCUUCUGCACCUUAAAUAAAUAUAAUAUGUAGGCCUUUUUAUGCCUGCUAAUCUGUCAAUUGUCAGGUCGUUUUCAAGGCAGCUUCAGCGGGUGAAAGGGAAGCCUUCCUUUCUUCCCUACAAAUUCAGCUGAGCAUAAAGUUUGGAAGGCAAACACCAGAGAGUAAUUUUACAUUUAUUAAUUGUCCAAGACCUGGAAUGAAAUAACCUCUGUGUUAUUAUUAUUUAUGCUCUGUGAGUAACACUGAGAAGAACUAUUGAGGUAAAGCUCAAAAAAGUUUCGAGGUACAUACACAGCAUUAUUUUAAAAAUUAUGUCACAUUACAUAUAAAAUAGAAAAUCAGCCUGAGAGAAUGCACAGCAAAAGGCCAACAGUAAUUGUCUCUCGAUGAUGGGAUUGUGUUUACCUUUGAUUAUUGCUCUUUUGACAUUUUUGACAAUGAAAAUAUAUUAUUUUUAUAAUAAAAAAUAAAAAGUUAAUUUUUAACAACUGUUAUGCCAAAAUAGAUAUGCAUAGAGAUAGCAGAUAGCAUUUCCCUUCAAGAAAUAUUUCUUUCAAUAGCAAUUCUUUUAUGUAUUUCCUUUGAUUAUGCUCCAUACAAUUCUUUUCUAUUUAUUUCUGGGAUCAUAUGAACAUUAUAGCCAUAAUUACACUUUAAAGUGUUAAAUGAAAUUUGAGUAACUAGAAUCUUUAAAUUCCCAAUCAUUCCUCUGUAAUCAAUAUUUUCUAUUUUACAUAUAGCAACUGGCAUUUAUGAACUUUAAAAUGUCUCAAGGAUAAAAUGACAAAAGUCCUUUGUCUAUCAGGACUUACAAUGUGCCAAUCAUAGAAGUUCCCCUGUUCUUCAACUGAUCUACAAUGUCAAACUGUUGUGCCUACAGACUCUAGAAGGGCAGAGUUCUUCAUGUGAUUUCUGCAUCCAUUCUACAAUCUCAGUGGCUGACCAUGUACAAUGCAGGAAAUGUUAUACUAAGAGAGGGAAGCAUGCUGAAAGAGGCUGCAAAAUCACCAGCAUCAGAAACAACUCUAUAGAUACCUUUAAGAUGGUAAUAUUCCAGGUACAGCUAAAAUGAUUCCAACCUCCAGUGGAAUUUCAUAAAUGUGUCCAUUUAAGAAUGUAAUAAUGGGGACAAAACACUGAAAAAUUAUGGCAGCAACAAGGCAGAAGGCAUCUUCGAAGUCAGCAAUUGUUCCUCAUUGUUCUGAAGGGAAACAGGGCACCUAUGAUCAUUGUUAUUCUUAUUUUAGAGAAGGGAAGCUCAGCAAGCUUCAGAGAUGGGAAGCUGCCAAGGGAGCAGAAAGAAGGGCUGGGACCAGCAUCUGGACUUGGACUCUCAGAAGGCAGAUUUAAGCUCCACUGAGGACACAGUGGAGACGAGGGAUAGAAAGAACGCAAAGUAAUGUAUUUUCUGUCACAGAAAGGGUCAAUCUGAGGUCAGAGACCAAGCCCACAGUACAAGGAUGGGAGUGGAGAAAGACCCUGAACUCUAACUCUGCAUUUAUUCUACACCAGAAUUUAUAUAAUAAAUAAAUAAUCCCUACUGCUGUUCAAAACAAUUUCUGCAAGAUCUGUAGAUCCUCUAAUUCAAAUUUAGUUUACAGGGUUUUCACAUAAAUUUAAAAAUUUUAUGCUUUUUUUUCCAUUAGGUGGAAAAUCUUAAUUCCUAAUCACACCAAUAUAACUCUAAUAGUAAGACCGCUGAAUCCAAUUUAAACAUUCUUAGCAUUUUUUUGUCCUUAAGAGUAUAUGUAAUUGAGAAUGUUCAGUGAAAAAUAUGAUGUUCUAGGGUCAGCUGGAAUAAUUCUUUUCUCUCUGUGGUUAUGCUACUCACAAUGUACAAUUAGGUCAUGUGUUUCUUUUUUCUCAUUUUACAUGUAUGUGGUGGAGGGAAGUGCUUUUUUUGGAUGUAAUUUGUUUUAUGGAUUAUAUCAAAACGUUACAUAAUUCCAAAAUUAAACUACAUAUC
Molecule: long non-coding RNA, 4375 nt
Filed under: Homo sapiens (human)
Lineage: Eukaryota; Metazoa; Chordata; Mammalia; Primates; Hominidae
Description: HSALNT0051603
Source: RNAcentral